GUUAUAAUUAGUGGCUCAUUGGAGUUUUUUUUUAUUUGUUUACCAAUCAAUUACUUAUUAGGAAUUUAGUGAUAUUUGUUUAGUAAUGUUUAACAUAUUAAUUAAUUUAAUUUCGUAGGUUGUGAUUUUGGUGGUGAGAUUUUAGAGAGUACUUUGCAUCAAAACUUCUAUAACUAUCAAUCACACAUUUGAGAUGGUUAGGUCACUAUUAUAGGGGAAAUGCUGCCCGAUAUUAUUUAGGAUAAUAAACGAUUAGUUGAGAACGGGCAUUACUUGAUUGAACAUUCGAGUCCCAGGCAUUACUUGAGAACGCUAACAAGCACAUCAUAUACAGAGGCACAAAUUGAUGAGUUGCGACAAGAAUGGGCG
Long non-coding RNA from Humulus lupulus (European hop), 369 nucleotides. RefSeq lists it as uncharacterized. Lineage: Eukaryota; Viridiplantae; Streptophyta; Magnoliopsida; Rosales; Cannabaceae. The record is from RefSeq and is a predicted model, not a curated record. The transcript has 3 exons.